Molecule: RNA transcript, 1326 nt
Organism: Populus trichocarpa (black cottonwood)
Lineage: Eukaryota; Viridiplantae; Streptophyta; Magnoliopsida; Malpighiales; Salicaceae
Exons: 8
Source: RefSeq, a predicted model, not a curated record
AACGACGAGUCUUUAGAUGAAGAUUUCUGUUUUAGACGACCUGUCACCUUGUUAGAUUUUUGGGCAGAAACAAAGAACUUGUCCUCCCCCUUGUGUCCAGAUAGGAAAAAAUAUAUGGAGGAAGCAAUAAAAUUGUUGGACUCUGCUCUCUCUCACAUCAAAUGGCGCCUCAAAUUUCCAGCCAAAAAUCGUCUUCAAAUAGAUAUUGUAGCUUUGCUGACAGAAAUGAGGCCAGUUAUAAUGGUUGACUAUGGUGGAAAGUUGCCUGAAUUACAAGACCAUCUUUGUGCUCUUGUUAAAUUUUGUCAACAGGAGUCGGCUAUUUUUGAGAAUCUUAGAGUGAUGGUGAUAGAAGAUAUGAUAUAUUUGAUACAUGUAAGAGGGAUUGCUGAGUAUGUUAAGUCAAGCUUGAAUUUGGAAGUAGAAUUGUUCUUCGUCAAUCUUGAAGAGGAUCCUCCCAAGAUGGUAACACAAGCGGAGGAAAGCACUUUAGUUACAGAGCUUAUAAGAGUUCAGAAGUUGUUCUCUUCAUUUUUUCCCUUGAAUGGAAAUAGCAAUGACCUCUUGUCACAUCAGAUGCCAGAUAGUGUGGCUAAUGCUGAAUCCUCCGCCAAUAAACCUGCAACUUCUCAAUCAUCUGAGUUUAUUGAUCUUAGUUGCUGCAUGCAAGACACUGAGAUCACUGUGCCAACUUUAAAUGGAUGGCUCCUUGGUUAUCCAGUCGUGUACUUGUUCAGCAAGCAGCACAUUGAAGAUGCCAUAUAUAAUCUUUCCACUAAAUAUCUUCGUAUCUUCCAAAUUCUAGUCAGCAGGUAUGCUUCACCCAAAAAAGGAUCUCAGCCAGAAGAACUGCUGAGAGACCAAGAUAAAGGAACAAAAAAUUUUAAGAGAUGAAAAGUGGUUGUGGUGGUGGUGGAGGUGAUAAGAUCGCAACUGGGUUUCUGUGGCCUUGCAGAUAGGAAAAAAGAAAGAGAAAAACAGAGGUACACAAAUGAUUUUGCUGGUGAAAAAGGCAUAAGAAAGGAGGGUUAUCCUAGUAUAAAUGUGUAAUCUGGUUGGGGUUCCUUAAAGCUGCUGCCAAUCUGAACUAGCCUUGAUUUUUCAUCCUUAUUUACACAAACCAGCCCAUCUCCGUUUCAUUUCCCCUGUAUAAGGGAUCCAGUUGGGGCAGGACAGAGCAGCUUCUCGGUGCCAUAUGAGCUGAGCAUGGGAGGAAGCAAUGAACCAUGGGCCGUGGCAUUUCUUGCCCAAAUGCAGACGAAGUGGGCAAAAUGCAAGCCAACUUGGAGGUCCUUGAAGAUGGAGGUGAGUGAAUGCUAUCCACAG